This 200-nucleotide unclassified non-coding RNA is filed under the name soil metagenome. Its description in RNAcentral is "partial contains internal transcribed spacer 2 and large subunit ribosomal RNA". The record is from RNAcentral.
CUCAACCCCUUCGGGUUUCCGACCGGGUUGGACUUGGGCGUUGCCGAUCAUGGCUUGCCUUAAAUUUGUUAGCGGAGGAAGCACCGAGCCUGGCGUGAUAAGUUUCGCCGGUAUUAGGUCGUGGAGCCCGCUCAUAGCUGCCCUUGGGCACCUCUUUUGACUCUGACCUCAAAUCAGGUAGGACUACCCGCUGAACUUAA